Sander lucioperca (pikeperch) is the source of this 772-nucleotide long non-coding RNA. RefSeq lists it as uncharacterized. The record is from RefSeq and is a predicted model, not a curated record. The transcript has 4 exons. Lineage: Eukaryota; Metazoa; Chordata; Actinopteri; Perciformes; Percidae.
CCACUGCAAACUUGAGUGGGUGUACCCCGAAAUGCAUUACCAGUCUGCUGUCACCUGUCUCCUCGCUUUUUGGAGGAGUGAUACAGGUGUUGUGGGAUACACACUGUCUGCAUCUACAUUAAGCUGGAGUUUGCCGUCUAUGCAGUUUGGAACCAAAUAGUUUCUUCUUAAAGUUAACUGCCAGGGAUUGUUUUUUCUUCAGCAAGAUAAAUUGGAGCCAACGUGGUACUUUCUGGAAUGAACUCUCAGCUGAUACCCUGACAAUCGCUGAUUCACUUCAACAAGUCCAGAGACCGUGUCGAUGUAUUGCUCCUGGAUCAUGAAGGCUGCCAGGUUGGCUGUAUAGGAAGCCAGGAAGAUGACAGCAAAGAAAGCCCAGACCAGGACCAUGAUCUUACUGGUGGUGCCCUUUGGAUUCUCAAUGGGGACCGAGUUGUUGAAGACAAUUCCCCACAGCAGCCACACAGACUUUCCAAUAGUGAAGGUCGGACCUCCGGGAUCUAGGGAGGAUAAAGCCAAGAGUGGACAGGACUCGGUAUCGGUCUAUACGUGGUGGACAAUGUUGGAGGAAAUACACUCAUCACUGUACAAUGGCGAUGCUACCUAUAUGACAAAAUAAGUAGUUUGUCAUUGCCUUUCAAAAUUACCCAUGUACUAUUCUUUUGAUCUGCUGCCUCUAUGGAAAACAUUAGACAACUUCUUGGUUAAUGUUGGGGAAAAAUUAUCUUCAAGAUUUAAAUAAAACAUCCUUUACCGGUUGUGGCAAAAAGGA